This 2156-nucleotide long non-coding RNA is filed under the name Homo sapiens (human). Its description in RNAcentral is "HSALNT0060731". Lineage: Eukaryota; Metazoa; Chordata; Mammalia; Primates; Hominidae. The record is from RNAcentral.
GAGAAGAGAGACAGAAGGAGAGAAGAGGGGCAGGAGGAGAGAAAACACAAGAAAGAGGAUGGAAGAUAAAGAGGAAGGUUUUUGAGACUAUGCAGAAGUUAUUCCAUGAGUUCCAAGCCCAGGUCAUGAAAGAUAACUUGUAAUAAAUCUGGCUACCCUGAAGCUGCCAUGCUUGAGAGACCACACGAGAUGGAGAGAGAUGCUUAGGAGUCCCAGCUGUCCAAGCCUCCAGCUAUGUGAAUCUUCCCAGCAGCAACUGCCAGACAUGUGGUACACCCAAAAUGACUUUGGGGCUACACUUGGAAUUGGCAAGGUUCCAGAAAACAGAGGGACUAUCAUCAGAGACAGCGCACAAAAAGUGGGAGAAAGGUCACCAGCCUCACUCAUGUUUAGGGCUAUUAUGAAUAAAGCUGCUAUGAACACUUGUUUACAAGUUCUUUGUGAGGACACAUGUUUUCAUUUAUCUUGGGAAAAUACCUAGAGAUGGAACUCUGGGACACAUGGUAAUAAAGUAUAUUGGCAUAAUGCAAGAGUCAAGAUGCAGAAAAUAACUACUGUGUGAUGUCUCUCUCCCAGCUUUAACCCGCCUGAAGGGCAGCACUGAGUUCAACACACUGUCCCACAAUUGUUGCACUCUCACACUGAAGUGAACAGAUUCUUUCUCCGUGCCGUGCAGCUCCCGGCAGAGGAUGAGGGAAGGGUACCAUCGGUGAUUCAGCACUGUGUUUCCUAUCCUCUUCAAUGACUCUUUCAGCGAUAUGAAGGUAAAACCAGGUGAAUGGAGCACAUGGCUAUGCUUUGUUUUAAAUGAAAGUCUUUGUCAUCCAGCGGAGGACUUUAAUUCAUUUACAUUUAUUGACAUAAAUGUUGACUUGAAAGCGUGUGUCAGAUCCCUUCACUAUAUCUUCAGACCUGCCCCAAGGAGUGAGGAAGGGCAACACCAAGAACUUCUCUCCAAGGACCAUAACCUGCGAACCCCAUCUCACCUCCUCCUGCCAGAUGGACACAGUCAUUGUCCUCCUGGCUGAUCCCAUGUCCAUGUCUUGCUCUGGCUACUUUCAUACACCCAUAAUGACAUUUUCCAUCUACUCAAUUUUUUAAAAGCUCAGCUCGAACCUCACGGAUUUUCCUGACAAUCUGCUUCUCUCAAUGGCCUUAAUUUAAGUGAGGGUUGUCAGUCUUACUGGGUCUCGUUUUUUGUCUUAAAUAAUAACUAUUUAUGGGUAUCAAGUGUCUCCUCAAUUUGGCUAUGAUCCUUCACGGCAGAAAUACUGUCUUAUCUUGUGAUCAUGGAGUCACAAGAUUUCAUGGCUAGGAAUAUUCGUCAAAUUAAUCCUAGAUUGAGGAUCAGGUAGUAUGUGGUCUGAUUCUAACUCAACAACUUGCAGAAACUCACUUCUUUUUUCUUUUUUUUUCCCCAGGAGGAGCUAUCGUAUUAACUGACGAAACUCACUUCAUUUCUUUGGACCUGCAAAAUGAGGAUGGGCUCUAAACCACCUCUAAAGUUAAUAUUCUAUGAUUCCAUGAUAAGGCUAUUUGUCAUUUAUAAAAAAAGGAACUUCCACAUAGCCCAGAGAAAGGAAAUGACUUUUUCAAGUUUACAGAGUCAAUUAAUGGACGAAAUGUAAUUUGAAAUUCAAUCUCCUGAUCCCCAGUCUAUUGGGAGUUCUUUCAGAAUGUCCCUUGACUGUCCCUCAAAGUGCCAGCAUGUAUGAAACCUUGUUAAGGAUGUAUGCUCAAUGAAAAUACACAAAUUGACUUAACAAGAAACUAAACUCUCCAGAAAGAUGCAGUUGACCCAAAACUCUGAAUAUCUUUUAUGUUUAAAACUUUCUUUUUUGAACAAAAUUGUACAGUUACUUCUCUAUUUCAACUCUUAAGCCUUUUAUGCCACGUCAAAGGUUAGCUCUCUUUUCUCUCUGUUAAUAAAGUCUUAUUCUUGACUUUGGAACUGUAUGCCAAGCUAAGGGGUCCUUUAUUGUUUAUUUAUUUUUUGAUUCUCUACUUUUGAUUCACACAUCUUUUCUACAAGAAAGACAAUUUAUAGCAGGGGCAUAUUACUUUCUUUGGGCCUCUGUGUCCUUAUCUAUAGCCAAAAGGUAUGGAAAUAAAUGUUUUCUAAAGGUCUUUCUGGCUCUAAGUUUAUUUGAUUUUUU